GUCUACAGACAUACCACCCUUAACGCGCCCAAUCUCAUCUGAUCUCAGAAGCUAAGCAGGGUCAGGCCUGGUUAGUAGUUGGAUGGGAGAAAGUAGAUAUGGUAUUAUGGGCC
Molecule: ribosomal RNA, 113 nt
Filed under: Sorex araneus (European shrew)
Lineage: Eukaryota; Metazoa; Chordata; Mammalia; Eulipotyphla; Soricidae
Source: RNAcentral